Molecule: ribosomal RNA, 506 nt
Filed under: uncultured Acidobacteriota bacterium
Lineage: Bacteria; Pseudomonadati; Acidobacteriota
Description: bacterial SSU rRNA
Rfam family: Bacterial small subunit ribosomal RNA
Source: RNAcentral
GCAGCAGGGUCCUACGGGAGGCAGCAGUGGGGAAUUUUUUGCAAUGGGGGCAACCCUGACCAAGCAACGCCGCGUGGAGGAUGAAGAUCUUUGGGUGGUAAAAUCCUUUUGUACGGGAAGAAAGGCGUUCGGGUGAACAAUCCGGAGGAGUGACGGUACCGAGUAGAGGAAGCCCCGGCUAACUCUGUGCCAGCAGCCGCGGUAAUACGGGGGGGGCAAGCGUUGUUCGGAAUUACUGGGCGUAAAGGGCGUGUAGGCGGCCAACUAAGUCGGACGUGAAAUCCCUCGGCUCAACCGGGGAACUGCAUUCGAAACUGGAUGGCUUGAGUUCGGGAGAGGGAUGUGGAAUUCCAGGUGUAGCGGUGAAAUGCGUAGAUAUCUGGAGGAACACCGGUGGCGAAGGCGGCUUCCUGGACCGACACUGACGCUGAGGCGCGAAAGCCAGGGGAGCAAACGGGAUUAGAUACCCCGGUAGUCCUAGCCGUAAACGGAGGACUACCUAAGGG